Arachis ipaensis is the source of this 309-nucleotide non-coding RNA. Lineage: Eukaryota; Viridiplantae; Streptophyta; Magnoliopsida; Fabales; Fabaceae. The record is from RefSeq and is a predicted model, not a curated record.
AAGUAUACCAAACAAGAGAUGACAGGUUCAAAUUAUGCAUUAAUACAUAGGUGCAAGGAUUAAGUAGGAAACAAAGAGGAAAUGAGAAAUCCUUAUAUAGGAAAUGGAUAUUGUCUCUCUUAUUUUGGAAUGAAAUAGUAGGGCAUUACCCGAAUGAAGCAGUCAUGAAAAUGCAUUCGCAGAAGUGCUGCAGGAACUGUUUUGUCCCUAGUUGUGGCAUCCUUCACUGCUUUGGCAACAAUGAACUCAACAUUAGGGCAUGACUUUUCAUAGUGGUUCAAGCUCAGUGAGUUUCCUGAGGAAACUGCA